RNAcentral lists this transfer RNA (72 nucleotides) under Spirochaeta sp. LUC14_002_19_P3. It matches the Rfam family "tRNA". Rfam says of the family: Transfer RNA (tRNA) molecules are approximately 80 nucleotides in length. Their secondary structure includes four short double-helical elements and three loops (D, anti-codon, and T loops). Further hydrogen bonds mediate the characteristic L-shaped molecular structure. tRNAs have two regions of fundamental functional importance: the anti-codon, which is responsible for specific mRNA codon recognition, and the 3' end, to which the tRNAs corresponding amino acid is attached (by aminoacyl-tRNA synthetases). tRNAs cope with the degeneracy of the genetic code in two manners: having more than one tRNA (with a specific anti-codon) for a particular amino acid; and 'wobble' base-pairing, i.e. permitting non-standard base-pairing at the 3rd anti-codon position. The record is from Rfam by way of RNAcentral. Lineage: Bacteria; Pseudomonadati; Spirochaetota; Spirochaetia; Spirochaetales; Spirochaetaceae.
GCGCCUGUCGUAUAAUGGUUAUUAUACGAGCUUCCCAAGCUUGUGACGUGGGUUCGAUUCCCAUCAGGCGCU